This 1050-nucleotide ribosomal RNA is filed under the name fungal sp. F489. RNAcentral describes it as "eukaryotic LSU rRNA". The stretch from base 459 to 1050 matches the Rfam family "Eukaryotic large subunit ribosomal RNA", at positions 1 to 597 of the family's 3401-position model. The record is from RNAcentral. Lineage: Eukaryota; Fungi.
GGGCCCCUCGGGGCCCAACCUCCCACCCAUGUUGCCCGAACCUAUGUUGCCUCGGCGGGCCCCGCGCCCGCCGACGGCCCCCCUGAACGCUGUCUGAAGUUGCAGUCUGAGACCUAUAACGAAAUUACUUAAAACUUUCAACAACGGAUCUCUUGGUUCCGGCAUCGAUGAAUAACGCAGCGAAAUGCGAUAACUAAUGUGAAUUGCAUAAUUCAGUGAAUCAUCGAGUCUUUGAACGCACAUUGCGCCCUCUGGUAUUCCGGAGGGCAUGCCUGUCCAAGCGUCAUUGCUGCCCUCAAGCCCGGCUYGUGUGUUGGGCCCCGUCCCCCCYGCCGGGGGGACGGGCCCGAAAGGCAGCGGCGGCACCGCGUCCGGUCCUCGAGCGUAUGGGGCUUCGUCACCCGCUCUAGUAGGCCCGGCCGGCGCCAGCCGACCCCCAACCUUUAAUUAUCUCASGUUGACCUCSGAUCAGGUAGGGAUACCCGCUGAACUUAAGCAUAUCARUAARCGGAGGAAAAGAAACCAACCGGGAUUGCCCUAGUAACGGCGAGUGAAGCGGCRAGAGCUCAAAUUUGAAAGCUGGCCCCCUCGGGGUCCGCAUUGUAAUUUGCASASGAUGCUUCGGGAACGGCCCCCAUCUAAGUGCCCUGGAACGGGCCGUCAUAKAGGGUGAGAAUCCCGUCUGGGAUGGGGUGGCCGCGCCCGUGUGAAGCUCCUUCGACGAGUCGAGUUGUUUGGGAAUGCAGCUCUAAUUGGGUGGUAAAUUUCAUCUAAAGCUAAAUAUUGGCCGGAGACCGAUAGCGCACAAGUAGAGUGAUCGAAAGAUGAAAAGCACUUUGAAAAGAGAGUUAAACAGCACGUGAAAUUGUUGAAAGGGAAGCGCUUGCGACCAGACUCGCCCGCGGGGUUCAGCCGGCACUCGUGCCGGUGUACUUCCCCGCGGGCGGGCCAGCGUCGGUUUGGGCGGCCGGUCAAAGGCCUCUGGAAGGUAACGCCUCUCGGGGCGUCAUGGAGCCAGGGGUGCCAUGCGGCCUGCCCGGACCGAGGAAC